This is a long non-coding RNA of Canis lupus familiaris (dog), 462 nucleotides long. RefSeq lists it as uncharacterized. The record is from RefSeq and is a predicted model, not a curated record. The transcript has 3 exons. NCBI's taxonomy places the organism in Eukaryota, Metazoa, Chordata, Mammalia, Carnivora, Canidae.
CUAGGAGACGGAAGGGCUAUACUUCCAUCAUCUCCAUACUUGCUGGGAGAUUGAGUAAUUGGUCUCUGGAUGUGCGUGUGCUGCUUCCCAAAAUAUCUCUUUAAAAAGAUGUGAGAGGGAUGCGGAGCCAGUAGGGUGAGCCUUCAGCUUCUACAUUUUUCAAAGUUAUCCAAGGUGAUUCUGACCCACAACAAAAUCUGAGAGGAACUGCUCUAAUAUUUAUCUUGCCAGAAAAAUAAGAUCAUGUGAAGAGAACACUCAUCUCAAUUCAAGGAAGAAAGCUUUGAGAUUUCCAAGGAAGAUGGAAGAUUGAACAGGUGCACAGAGCCUCCCAUCUUGUUCUGAAUACAUACAUAUGCUGGAUAAAUUAUAACAGAAUGAGAAAAAAGAAAAAAAAUAUCCGCAAGCCAAAUGAAACUGAAAGCUAAAUUAAAGUCUUGGAGCCCCCAGGCCCAGUUGUGU